Molecule: long non-coding RNA, 1845 nt
Organism: Carassius gibelio (silver crucian carp)
Lineage: Eukaryota; Metazoa; Chordata; Actinopteri; Cypriniformes; Cyprinidae
Exons: 3
Source: RefSeq, a predicted model, not a curated record
ACACUGUAAAAAAUUAUUUAGCAGUUUAGUUGUUUCAAUGAAUUUUUUUAUGUUGACACAACUUGCAGUUACUGAAUUUGUUCAUUCAACUAAAAAUUUUAAGUUUUCAGUGUCUCAACUAGUUUGAAAGUUGACUGAACUAGGUUAUUUGUCCUCAUAACUAAAAAAAAUUUGUUGACUCAAUUCAAUAGCAAUAUCACGUUCACAACAUCACUUAUCGCGAGAUCUCGUCAUUCUCGUGAAGGCUGUUGAAGAGAGAAGAAGGCCGUCAGACAUUCUAGUCAGUUUCUCCUCAAAGUUUGGACUUUUUACUAGAAUACAACUUUGGUAAGUAAAAUAUUCGUAUUCAUUGGCUUAAUGUGUAAAAUUACAUUUGUUGUCUCAGAAGAGUAAGUAUGGUUUAAAGAGUCUUACAUUCUGUAUAUAAGUUACUGUAUGUAAAUGUUCGUUUCGCGGCACCCUGAAGCCUCAAAAUACAGGCGGUUCCACAGUAUUUUCCUUAUAAAUAUUAAAACAGAUAUUCCCCCAUGCGGGACAGCGGAGCUGAACUUAUGUGGAGAACAAUAAAAAUACAGUCUGUAUGUAUUAUUUGAGCCCAGAGCUGCGUUAGAGACCGUUCAAAAAGAGCGCGAGAGCUCAUCGGAUCACUGUAUGGAUUAAGAACGGCGGGAAUAAAAAAAAAGGAACUGCUCUUAACCUGACAGCGUAAGACAUCCGUCAGAAUAUUCAACGAUGAAAAAUUAGGAGAUAAAAAGAAGAUUACUACUCGAACUGUGUCUUUUCUGUAUGUUAUAAGGGCAACGAAUGAGCAGCACAGAUGAGCACCUCCCUCAGAGUUCUUCCGGAGCGCGUAACUUAACGUUACAUUUGAUAUCGCUGACAUAAGCCUAGUUCUGAUGAUUUUUUUACAGUCUACAGUUCAGAUGAAGUUCUGAAGGUAGCGUUACAAACUCUUCUUUCAGUUUUCUGAAGUAACGUUAGUCAUUCAAGUGCCUCACUAGAACCUAGUGUAAUGCUGCGUGAAUAUCUGUUUUUAUAUAGUCUAUGGUGAAUAUACGGUCAUAAGUAAAUUGCAUGCGUUCAAAUCUAUAUAUUUUAGAAUAAAAGUAAUAAUAGCAUAUAUCUUGUAUAAAUAGAGAUACAAUAACGAUCGACACAAAUGUGUUAAAUGUCCUUUUAUUGUGUUAUAAUUAUGUGUUGUGUCAUUUAAAAGCAUCGUCUGGAUGGUAAAGUUUGUCUUUGGCAUUUAAUACAAACUUGUCAAUGCAUUUGACUUUCUCUGUAAAGAUUUAUUUAUAUGUAUGUUUAUUAUUUUACAGUGUUUUAACAUGUUUUUGUAUUUUUCAUGUUUAUGAUAUUUUGGGAUGACUGAAGAUUCAGAGCAGAAUUCAAUAAUCCUGUGAAUGGACCACAGCGAGUCCUUUUGUAGUUAUCCAUCAAAAUGAUAAGCAGACAUAAUGGAAAUGACAUUUACAUUGUAGAGCUUGGACAAAGUUCACACAGGCUCUGCGCAGGAAUUCAUCAAGGACAUGACUGCUGGGAUCACACUUGUGGAUGACCAAACUGAGCACCAUCAGUCUGCAGUGAUGUGAUCCAGCCAUCCAGUGACAUUAAGGAUGUUGAGAAAGAAAUUGAAGAGGGAAUUCUGAUUGUAACUGAGGAGCAGCAAUGUGAUGUGCUUCCCAAGGAAUAACCAACUUUGGUCUCAUUUGGACAUCCUGUCAUCACUGACAUCUCCCAUGUCCCCAAGGCAUUUGGACUCCUAAUGGGUCUGUAUGCAGUGAACAUCCACUACCUCCAGCACAUUAAAUACACCAUUCAGGCUCUGCAAAAACUUGUGAAGAC